RNAcentral lists this ribosomal RNA (254 nucleotides) under uncultured bacterium. RNAcentral's name for it is "partial 16S ribosomal RNA". It matches the Rfam family "Bacterial small subunit ribosomal RNA", at positions 524 to 776 of the family's 1533-position model. The record is from RNAcentral.
UACGUAGGGUGCGAGCGUUGUCCGGAAUUAUUGGGCGUAAAGAGCUUGUAGGCGGUUUGUCGCGUCUGCCGUGAAAGUCCGGGGCUCAACUCCGGAUCUGCGGUGGGUACGGGCAGACUAGAGUGUGGUAGGGGAGACUGGAAUUCCUGGUGUAGCGGUGAAAUGCGCAGAUAUCAGGAGGAACACCGAUGGCGAAGGCAGGUCUCUGGGCCACUACUGACGCUGGAGGAGCGAAAGCAUGGGGAGCGAACAGG